Molecule: ribosomal RNA, 359 nt
Filed under: uncultured soil bacterium
Lineage: Bacteria
Description: bacterial SSU rRNA
Rfam family: Bacterial small subunit ribosomal RNA
Source: RNAcentral
AGAACGAACGCUGGCGGCGUGCUUAACACAUGCAAGUCGAGCGGGAAAGUUCCUUUCGGGGAACGAGUACAGCGGCGCACGGGUGAGUAACACGUAGGUAACCUACCUCAAAGUCUGGGAUAACCUGUCGAAAGACGGGCUAAUACCGGAUAAGACCACAAGGGCUUAGGCUCAUGGGGUAAAAGAUGGCCUCUGUUUACAAGCUAUCACUUCGGGAUGGGCCUGCGUGCCAUUAGCUAGUUGGUGAGGUAACGGCUCACCAAGGCGAAGAUGGCUAGCUGGUCUGAGAGGAUGGCCAGCCACACUGGGACUGAGACACGGCCAGACUCCUACGGGAGCAGCAGUGGGGAAUAUUGCGC